RNAcentral lists this ribosomal RNA (253 nucleotides) under uncultured bacterium. RNAcentral describes it as "partial 16S ribosomal RNA". It matches the Rfam family "Bacterial small subunit ribosomal RNA", at positions 524 to 776 of the family's 1533-position model. The record is from RNAcentral.
UACGAAGGGAGCUAGCGUUGUUCGGAUUCACUGGGCGUAAAGCGCACGUAGGCGGAUUUGCCAGUCAGGGGUGAAAUCCCGGGGCUCAACCUCGGAACUGCCUUUGAUACAGCAAGUCUUGAGUUCGAGAGAGGUGGGUGGAAUUCCUAGUGUAGAGGUGAAAUUCGUAGAUAUUAGGAAGAACACCGGUGGCGAAGGCGGCCCACUGGCUCGACACUGACGCUGAGGUGCGAAAGCGUGGGGAGCAAACAGG